AGGCGGUUAGCUCAGAUGGUUAGAGCGCCACGUUGACAUCGUGGAGGUCGUUGGUUCGAUUCCAAUACCGCCUACCA
Molecule: transfer RNA, 77 nt
Filed under: Bordetella sp.
Lineage: Bacteria; Pseudomonadati; Pseudomonadota; Betaproteobacteria; Burkholderiales; Alcaligenaceae
Also listed under: 32 other names
Description: tRNA-Val
Rfam family: tRNA
About the family: Transfer RNA (tRNA) molecules are approximately 80 nucleotides in length. Their secondary structure includes four short double-helical elements and three loops (D, anti-codon, and T loops). Further hydrogen bonds mediate the characteristic L-shaped molecular structure. tRNAs have two regions of fundamental functional importance: the anti-codon, which is responsible for specific mRNA codon recognition, and the 3' end, to which the tRNAs corresponding amino acid is attached (by aminoacyl-tRNA synthetases). tRNAs cope with the degeneracy of the genetic code in two manners: having more than one tRNA (with a specific anti-codon) for a particular amino acid; and 'wobble' base-pairing, i.e. permitting non-standard base-pairing at the 3rd anti-codon position.
Source: RNAcentral